AUGACCUGCUCCGAGUUCCUACAAAGCUCGAUAGGAGAGCUGCAAGCCUCCAACGACAAGGCCAGUCGCGCUCACCGUGUGCUGGGCAGCUGCUCCAAACACCUGCUGAGGCUAGACGCCUCGGUGGUUGCUGGAACUGGCCAUGACGGAUGCUGGAACCGGCCACAAAAAAGCUUCAUCCGGCGGGGCAAUUUGCUACAACCAUUUGACUUGCUGGUCGAGCGGUGGCAGAAAAGCUUCAUCCGACGACAAAAAAGCUUCAACCGGCAGCCCGAUUUGCUGCGACCAGUGACUUGCUGGGGCGAGCGGCGGCAGAAAAGCUUCAUCCGACGGAAGAAAUGCUCCAAGCGGCAGCGUGAUUUGCUGCGACGAGUGACAUGUUGGAGCGAGUAG
Molecule: ribosomal RNA, 393 nt
Filed under: Triticum aestivum (bread wheat)
Lineage: Eukaryota; Viridiplantae; Streptophyta; Magnoliopsida; Poales; Poaceae
Description: partial small subunit ribosomal RNA
Source: RNAcentral